Molecule: ribosomal RNA, 629 nt
Filed under: Acaulospora lacunosa
Lineage: Eukaryota; Fungi; Glomeromycota; Glomeromycetes; Diversisporales; Acaulosporaceae
Description: partial large subunit ribosomal RNA
Rfam family: Eukaryotic large subunit ribosomal RNA
Source: RNAcentral
GCGAGUGAACUGGGAAGAGCUCAAAUUUUAAAUCUCCUAGGUUACCUAGGCGAGUUGUAAUUUGAAGAAAGUGUUUUGAUGCUCUGGUUUUAUUUAAAUCCUUUGGGAUAAGGUAUCAUAGAGGGUGAGAAUCCCGUUCAUGAUUAAACCUGGGUGUCACCUAAUUCACUUUCUAAGAGUCGAGUUGUUUGGGAUUGCAGCUCAAAAUGGGUGGUAAAUUUCACCUAAGGCUAAAUAUGUGCAAGAGACCGAUAGCGAACAAGUACCGUGAGGGAAAGAUGAAAGGAACUUUGAAAAGAGAGUUAAAUAGUACGUGAAAUUGUUGAAAGGGAAACGAUUGAAGUCAGUCAUGCUUGCAGGGAAUCAGCAUGGUGGUUUUCUUCCUUGUGCACUUCCUUGCUUGGCAGGUUAGCAUCAAUUUUGAUUGUCAUUAAAGAACCGGGGGAAUGUGGCUUCUUCGGGAGUGUUAUAGACCUUGGUAGAUGUGGCGAUUGGGAUUGAGGAUUGCAGCGAAUGCUUCUUGGCUAGUCACCUGGCUUCUGAUGGUCACCUUGCUUUCGAUAGCUUGCUAACGUUGGUGAGAUUUGAUUGUCUAGAUGUUAGUGUGAUCAUAAAUUCGCUAAGGAUGC